This 72-nucleotide transfer RNA is filed under the name Pseudomyrmex pallidus. RNAcentral's name for it is "tRNA-Gln". The record is from RNAcentral. Lineage: Eukaryota; Metazoa; Arthropoda; Insecta; Hymenoptera; Formicidae.
UAUAUUAAGGUGUUUUAAGUUGCACAGCAAAGUUUGAGUUUGCAAGAGGCAGUUAAAUUCUGUCUAAUAUAG